UUCGGCUGGGCACUCUGCGGAGACUGCCGGUGACAAACCGGAGGAAGGUGGGGAUGACGUCAAGUCNUCAUGGCCUUUAUGUCUGGGGCUACACACGUGCUACAAUGGCCGGUACAAAGGGUCGCNAUCCCGCGAGGGUGAGCUAAUCCCACAAAGCCGGUCUCAGUUCGGAUUGCAGGCUGCAACUCGACUGCAUGAAGNUGGAAUCGCUAGUAAUCGCGGAUCAGAAUGCNGCGGUGAAUACGUUCCCGGGCCUUGNACACA
This 264-nucleotide ribosomal RNA is filed under the name uncultured bacterium. RNAcentral describes it as "partial 16S ribosomal RNA". It matches the Rfam family "Bacterial small subunit ribosomal RNA", at positions 1126 to 1389 of the family's 1533-position model. The record is from RNAcentral.